This 497-nucleotide ribosomal RNA is filed under the name uncultured bacterium. RNAcentral's name for it is "partial 16S ribosomal RNA". It matches the Rfam family "Bacterial small subunit ribosomal RNA", at positions 28 to 507 of the family's 1533-position model. The record is from RNAcentral.
GAUGAACGCUGGCGGCGUGCCUAAUACAUGCAAGUCGAGCGAACGGACGAGAAGCUUGCUUCUCUGAUGUUAGCGGCGGACGGGUGAGUAACACGUGGAUAACCUACCUAUAAGACUGGGAUAACUUCGGGAAACCGGAGCUAAUACCGGAUAAUAUUUUGAACCGCAUGGUUCAAAAGUGAAAGACGGUCUUGCUGUCACUUAUAGAUGGAUCCGCGCUGCAUUAGCUAGUUGGUAAGGUAACGGCUUACCAAGGCAACGAUGCAUAGCCGACCUGAGAGGGUGAUCGGCCACACUGGAACUGAGACACGGUCCCGACCCCUACGGGAGGCAGCAGUAGGGAAUCUUCCGCAAUGGGCGAAAGGCUGACGGAGCAACGCCGCGGGAGUGAUGAAGGUCUUCGGAUCGUAAAACUCUGUUAUUAGGGAAGAACAUAUUUGUAAGUAACUGGGCACAUCUUGACGGUACCUAAUCAGAAAGCCACGGCUAACUACGUG